GCGGGUGUAGUAUAACGGUUAGUAUACAACCUUGCCAAGGUUGAGGAGGGGGUUCAACUCCCCUCACCCGCU
This 72-nucleotide transfer RNA is filed under the name Parcubacteria bacterium DG_74_2. Its description in RNAcentral is "tRNA-Gly". It matches the Rfam family "tRNA". Rfam says of the family: Transfer RNA (tRNA) molecules are approximately 80 nucleotides in length. Their secondary structure includes four short double-helical elements and three loops (D, anti-codon, and T loops). Further hydrogen bonds mediate the characteristic L-shaped molecular structure. tRNAs have two regions of fundamental functional importance: the anti-codon, which is responsible for specific mRNA codon recognition, and the 3' end, to which the tRNAs corresponding amino acid is attached (by aminoacyl-tRNA synthetases). tRNAs cope with the degeneracy of the genetic code in two manners: having more than one tRNA (with a specific anti-codon) for a particular amino acid; and 'wobble' base-pairing, i.e. permitting non-standard base-pairing at the 3rd anti-codon position. Lineage: Bacteria; Candidatus Parcubacteria. The record is from RNAcentral.